AUUGAACGCUGGCGGCAUGCCUUACACAUGCAAGUCGAACGGUAACAGGUCUUCGGAUGCUGACGAGUGGCGAACGGGUGAGUAAUACAUCGGAACGUGCCCGAUCGUGGGGGAUAACGGAGCGAAAGCUUUGCUAAUACCGCAUACGAUCUACGGAUGACAGCAGGGGACCGCAAGGCCUUGCGCGGACGGAGCGGCCGAUGGCAGAUUAGGUAGUUGGUGGGAUAAAAGCUUACCAAGCCGACGAUCUGUAGCUGGUCUGAGAGGACGACCAGCCACACUGGGACUGAGACACGGCCCAGACUCCUACGGGAGGCAGCAGUGGGGAAUUUUGGACAAUGGGCGAAAGCCUGAUCCAGCCAUGCCGCGUGCAGGAUGAAGGCCUUCGGGUUGUAAACUGCUUUUGUACGGAACGAAAAGACUCUUUCUAAUAAAGAGGGUCCAUGACGGUACCGGAAGAAUAAGCACCGGCUAACUACGUG
Molecule: ribosomal RNA, 482 nt
Filed under: uncultured bacterium
Lineage: Bacteria
Description: partial 16S ribosomal RNA
Rfam family: Bacterial small subunit ribosomal RNA
Source: RNAcentral